Molecule: transfer RNA, 72 nt
Filed under: Endoconidiophora resinifera
Lineage: Eukaryota; Fungi; Ascomycota; Sordariomycetes; Microascales; Ceratocystidaceae
Description: tRNA-Ile
Source: RNAcentral
UGCGGGUAGGUGUAAUUAGAAACAUAUUCGAUAAAUGUUCGAAAGUUGGGAGUAAAAAUCUCUUGUCCGCAA